UGCGCUCGGUUUUAUUUGCAGAUCGGGACCGUCAGACAGCGUGAAAAUGGCGCGCCCAAAUGAUCACAAUAUCAUUUGAACAGUGGAGCACAAAGAACAAUUAGCUCGUGGCGCCGGCCGAGGGAGCUAAUCCCAGAUUGCAACUUCAACUUUGUUUCUUCUUUCCGUAGCCAACCUUCAAAGACGGACGGUGCAACGAGCAAAUGUUUCGAGUCAAAUGAAUGAAUACGAACGUGCGAAAAGGCUAAAAAAAAAUUGCGGUACUUACUUCAAGUUUGGUGCGGCGGCCGCUUUAGAGCGCCUUGUUGUAUGCCGCUACGUAAAAGGAGCAUCGAUUUUUGUUGUUGUUGUUUUUAUAAGUCCAAUUUGAUAGCCGGCGUGUGGACCGGGGCGUUCAGCGCUCCUCGUUGUCGUGACACAGAAGAGCCGGCAGGCUGAAAAUUUUAUUUUGAAAAGUUUGAUUUGACAGCCAGUGUAUGGACAAUCUUGGGGUUGGUGUGGCCGCUUCAGAGCGCCUCGUUGUUGGCCGUGAGUACACACAAGUUACAGAGAAAAGGCAGAAGAGAAGGGGACAAAAGUCCAACACUAUUAACCAUCUUUGACCCACUUUGUCUUAACAUUAUUGCACUUAGUUUGGCUUCAUUCUGCUUCGUCCAACAUCGUCCUAGCUUCCAACUGCCAUAUCAGCUUUGUCCUGCAUUUAUCCUACCUUAAAAAAAAAGUGGCAUGUGAACAGAUGACUAAUUGCCACAUCGGCAGAUCAAACAGGGGCCCGCUUCCCGUUUCCUCUCGGCCGAGUGCACAUUCUCCGAAACAUAAUCCAUAUUCACCCAAAAAAAAAAAAGCAAAUUGCAAGGUCCCUCCGCAGCUGCCUUGAAGUGCGAGAGGCUCUUUGAAGGCAGUUAGCCGGCGUUACGAGAGCAACGCAAAGAUGGACGUGUCCAAACAGGGUCCAGGUGACCCAGGUGAGUGAUGGGACACAGGACACUUGAGCUCCCCGAUGCCAUGUCAGCACCAGCAGCUGGGAUGAGAAAAAUCUUUGCCUUGACUUUUUGGGCCGUCUCCUUUGUUCGUUUGUUUGUUUGGUUGGGUUUUUUUGGUCAUAUUUUCAUACCUAUUUCAAAUAGUAACUGACGACAAGGGCUUGCGUAAAAUUCUUAUCUGCCUGGUUGCUAUCUUGCUAUUCGUUAGCACAAUGAUCGGCUAGCUAAAUGAAUAAUAUCAACAUUUUGUCCAUCC
Molecule: long non-coding RNA, 1239 nt
Organism: Hippocampus comes (tiger tail seahorse)
Lineage: Eukaryota; Metazoa; Chordata; Actinopteri; Syngnathiformes; Syngnathidae
Exons: 2
Source: RefSeq, a predicted model, not a curated record